This 400-nucleotide ribosomal RNA is filed under the name uncultured bacterium. RNAcentral describes it as "bacterial SSU rRNA". It matches the Rfam family "Bacterial small subunit ribosomal RNA", at positions 355 to 770 of the family's 1533-position model. The record is from RNAcentral.
UCGAGAAUCUUCCACAAUGGACGAAAGUCUGAUGGAGCGACGCCGCGUGCAGGAUGAAGGCCUUCGGGUUGUAAACUGCUUUUGCCAGGGACGAAUUUUUGACGGUACCUGGCGAAUAAGGGGUUGCUAACUCUGUGCCAGCAGCAGCGGUAAUACAGAGACCCCGAGCGUUAUCCGGAUUCAUUGGGCGUAAAGCGUCCGCAGGAGGUCGUGUUAGUCUUGCGUUAAAUCACGGGGCCCAACUCCGUAACUGCGCAAGAAACGGCACGACUUGAGCAUGCAAGAGGCAAGCGGAACUCAUGGUGUAGCAGUGAAAUGCGUUGAUAUCAUGGGGAACACCAAAGGCGAAGGCAGCUUGCUGGGGCAUUGCUGACUCUAAGGGACGAAAGCGUGGGUAGCG